Molecule: long non-coding RNA, 386 nt
Organism: Eptesicus fuscus (big brown bat)
Lineage: Eukaryota; Metazoa; Chordata; Mammalia; Chiroptera; Vespertilionidae
Exons: 3
Source: RefSeq, a predicted model, not a curated record
UCUAUACUCUUGAGGCUGAACUGGCAUCAUAGAGAUAAGAGAGAUAAAGCAAUUAAGCAACUUGUCCAAAGUCAUGAGUCUGGAAACUUAAAGCCGAGGCAGAAGAGGCAGAGAUGUCUACAGGAUUCAGAAGGAAUGAGUCAGACCUGCCCGCACACACCUUCACACUCACAUCCAGUACUGAUCAAGGUUGGGGCUACAAGAGUGACAUUUUGGGAAGAAGAAGAAGAACAGAGAGGCAGAAUUUUGACAGGACCCUGAUUUGACGGAAUUGACCUGGAAGUGACUACAUUAAUGCUUUCAUCACCACAUGGAACCAAGGUUCAAAACAGAAGAUUGAAAAUAAAAUAUGAACAACAGCAAUAAUAAUGCCACAUUCUGACGCA